Anopheles stephensi (Asian malaria mosquito) is the source of this 79-nucleotide non-coding RNA. The record is from Rfam. Lineage: Eukaryota; Metazoa; Arthropoda; Insecta; Diptera; Culicidae.
GCGAAAGUUCCAUGCUUCCUUGCAUUCAAUAGUAAUGUUUGAAACCCCUAUGGAAUGUAAAGAAGUAUGGAGCGCUCGG